ACCAGCCGCAGCAAGGAGUGACUCCCUACGGGCACCCUUCACACUUCUGAAUCGGGAAGACAACCUGCAGUUUUGUGUUUGCACUGAAAAGUAGAAAAUCAGAGUUAAUGUGUCAGUCAUCCUGAGAAUGUCCCUUUGGUCUUUAAUUUCUUUGGUUUCUUAUAUUUUAUAUUUCAUAUGGAGGUGUUUAAACAAAAAGCAAAGGAGAAGUUGUGCUUUGCAUUCAGCAUUGAAGGAGGUUUGGCAGUGUGGCUGAUGGCUCAGGCAGACCUCCUCCCCGCGGAUGGUGGCAGCAGACCUUUGAAAUUGGUGCUUUUUCUUUUUUUUUAAAGUCUUCUAGGUACAGAAAGAAUGAAUUAUGGUGGGUUUAAAUAUUUAUGGGUUCAUUAAUGAUUGUUUUGCUCUUUUGCAACUGUGCUGGACCAACUUCUGACUUGAAAGGCAGAUCAGGUCUUGACAGGAAGCAACCCAUUCAUUCUGCAUUCACCUGUGAUGGGCAACUGGACAUUAAUCUGCGUCAUUAUAAUUUGAAAUAUUUGUAAUUUCAUGAGCACUUUAUAAACUUUCUUAUUUGUGUAGGACUUUGCUUUGCUUUUGUUGUGGUCAAAGGUGCUGAACCAGGUUGUUGCUUAGUGAUUUCUACAAUCAUGACUUCCAUGGGAGCCUCUUGGAAGUUGCUGCACCUGACUUUGUUUUCAGUGGUGAGAGCAUGGACCAGAGUCUUCAGGAAGGUACAAUAUGUCAACCUUAAACACCUGGAAGGACCACCGUGGAAUCGUUCCUGUAUUUACUGCCAGUUUUGGGAAAAUGACUGUCCAGAUUUGGUUCUCUAGAGCUUUAUGUCACCUAGAGUGAAAAUCUCGCAGCUGGAUAGAGAGUCCACAGAGCUCAGACUUGACAUGGUUUCCAGAGACCCUGGCCCCAAAGUCCAGAAGGCUCUGGUUUUCAUAAAAGGUGUAUUUGCUGUUAAUUUUGUAUGGUAAGUAUUUGCUACUUUGAAUUUAAUUAUUAAUGUUGGUGUCAGUCUUGGUUGUGUAUUGCAUAUACUGUAUUUAUAAACUGGUGCAAAAAGCACAAGUAAAUUAUACAUUAAAU
RNAcentral lists this long non-coding RNA (1095 nucleotides) under Marmota monax (woodchuck). The record is from RNAcentral. Lineage: Eukaryota; Metazoa; Chordata; Mammalia; Rodentia; Sciuridae.